UGAACGCUGCGGCGUGCCUAAUACAUGCAAGUCGAACGGAAUUUAAAAGAGCUUGCUCCUUUGAAUUUAGUGGCGCACGGGUGAGUAAUAUAUAGCUAAUCUGCCCCUUGCUGGAGGACAACAGUUAGAAAUGACUGCUAAUACUCCAUACUCCUUUUUACCAUAAGAUAAAUCGGGAAAGAAUUUCGGCAAGGGAUGAGACUAUAUCGUAUCAGCUAGUCGGUGGGGUAACGGCCUACCGAGGCUAUGACGCGUAACUGGUCUGAGAGGAUGAUCAGUCACAUUGGAACUGAGACACGGUCCAAACUCCUACGGGAGGCAGCAGAAGGGAAUAUUGCGCAAUGGGGGAAACCCUGACGCAGCAACGCCGCGUGGAGGAUGACACUUUUCGGAGCGUAAACUCCUUUUGUUAGGGAAGAAUAAUGACGGUACCUAACGAAUAAGCACCGGCUAA
This 454-nucleotide ribosomal RNA is filed under the name Campylobacter gracilis. RNAcentral describes it as "bacterial SSU rRNA". It matches the Rfam family "Bacterial small subunit ribosomal RNA", at positions 30 to 500 of the family's 1533-position model. The record is from RNAcentral. Lineage: Bacteria; Pseudomonadati; Campylobacterota; Epsilonproteobacteria; Campylobacterales; Campylobacteraceae.